Molecule: ribosomal RNA, 253 nt
Filed under: uncultured bacterium
Lineage: Bacteria
Description: partial 16S ribosomal RNA
Rfam family: Bacterial small subunit ribosomal RNA
Source: RNAcentral
UACGGAGGGUGCAAGCGUUGUUCGGAAUCAUUGGGCGUAAAGCGCGUGUAGGCGGCUUGGCAAGUCGGUUGUGAAAGCCCGGGGCCCAACCCCGGAACUGCAUCUGAAACUGCCUGGCUAGAGUCCCGGAGAGGAAGGCAGAAUUCCCGGUGUAGGGGUGAAAUCCGUAGAUAUCGGGAGGAAUACCAGCGGCGAAGGCGGCCUUCUGGACGGUGACUGACGCUGAGACGCGAAAGCGUGGGGAGCAAACAGG